Molecule: ribosomal RNA, 120 nt
Filed under: Clostridiaceae bacterium
Lineage: Bacteria; Bacillati; Bacillota; Clostridia; Eubacteriales; Clostridiaceae
Description: partial 23S ribosomal RNA
Rfam family: Bacterial large subunit ribosomal RNA
Source: RNAcentral
AGGUCAAGCUGUGAAGAGCGCAAGGGGAAUGCCUUGGCACUGGGAGCCGAUGAAGGACGCGACAAGCUGCGAUAAGCUGCGGGGAGCUGCAAAUAAGCGUUGAUCCGCAGAUUUCCGAAU